This 2392-nucleotide long non-coding RNA is filed under the name Homo sapiens (human). Its description in RNAcentral is "HSALNT0360054". Lineage: Eukaryota; Metazoa; Chordata; Mammalia; Primates; Hominidae. The record is from RNAcentral.
GUGCAGCCAUGGCUUUAGCGGUAAAGCUGUUAGGAAACUUCAUUCCUAUGUCUCCCUGGAGAAACUGUGAUUUCUAGGUCACUAUGACAAUCCCCAAACAUGCAGCUUUAUUUUGGAACACAACAGUGCAUACUCUUCAUAGAUUGCAAGGGUUUAAUGAUGACAAAAACCUGUUUAUAGCACAGUCUAUUUCUUUCAUUUUCCUUGAAAAUACCAAACUGGUUGUUACAGAGACCCAAGGCUGAAAUAUUCCAAAGCAACGUUUCACUCAUCCUUCCUCCCAGAUUCUUUUCUCUGCUGCAGUCAAUUCCCCCUUUUUCCAUUUGUAGAGACAAAAGGGAACAUUCUAUAACCACUGGCCUCUGUCCAGGAACACAGGAGAAAAUGAAGCAAGGCAAACAACAGAGAAAAGUGAACAACAAAAGAACAAACUCAAACGAAACUGCUUAACAAUCCUACAGUGCAGACCUGGCAGAAAUAUAAAGCCCACAGUCAUGUCCUCCAGACUGGCUCUUCUGUCUGCUGAUUAGCUUUGAUACCAUCUUCAAUAGUUAGCCAGUGACUCCAGUGUCAGCAAAUUUCCUUCUUCUAUUAGAGACUCACCAUUCCACCAGAGGAGGGACCUCUGCAUUGGGGAAUUUACUUGCCAAUCAUCUCUCAAGUAGAUCCUGGAGACUUGGGGAUGAAAGAUGUUACCUAAAUACAAAGUGUUCUCAUCAAAUGCUUUUAUAAUGUAAAAUUAGCUAGGCUCAAAGGAGCAGGAAUAUGACUACAUUUAAUGUAAUUGUAUUUAUUGGCUUAGUUAUAAUUGGCAAAGUUCAUCCUGAAAUAUUUUCCAUGAAGUUAAGAGAGUUAAAUAUCUUGGAAACCCUCUCCUUAGACUCCCCUAUGCCCCUGGAUUCUAAAUUAUUUCUGAUAGAUGGAAACAUUUUAGUUCCUUUGCCUUUCAUUAAUCCAAUAUUUGAUGAUAGGCCCAUACUUCAGGGUUGCCCAACUCCGGGGGACCCUGUUCACAGGGCUGUCCCAUGGAAUUGUGCAACACAGGGUUCUGUAUGGAUCCAAAAGUGACUUUUUAAAACAAUUCUGUAUGAUGUUCUCAAUUUUUGAUAUGGCUAUUGGAAUUUAAUUCUGAUUAAAUAUGCUCAAGCUAUAGGGUCAUCUACAGUUGAGGAUCAUAGUGAUCAACACUUCAAAGUGUGCUAGACAUUACUAGUUGCUUGGGAUAUCAACAGGUAUUUUGUAAAAGAAAAGAUUCAUGACGUCAGCCUUGGCAAAUAAUUUAUGGCUAAGUCCUCAAAAGCAAUUGCAACAAAACCAAAAAUUGACAAGUGGGACCUAAUUAAACUAAAGAGCUUCUGCACAGCAAAAGAAACUAUCAACAGAGUAAACAGACAACCCACAGAAUGGGAGGGAACGUUCUCAAACUAUGCAUCCAACAAAGGUCUAACAUCCAGAAUCUAUAAAUAAACAAUUCAACAAGCAAAAAAUAAUCCCAUUAAAAAGUGGGCAAAGGACAUAAACAGACUCUCCUCAAAAGAAGACACACAAGUGGGCAACAGACAUUUGAAAAAAUCCUCAGCAUCACUGAUCAUCAGUGAAAGGCAAAUCAAAACCACAAUGGCAUAUACUGUCUCAUACCCAUCAGAAUGGCUAUUAUUUAAAAGUCAAAAAAUAACAGCUACUGGCAAGGCUUCGAAGAAAAGGGAACACUUACACACUGUGCGUGGGAAUGUAAAUUAGUUUAGCCGCUGUGGAAAGCAGUUCGGAGAUUUCUCAAAGAACUCAGAACUACUAUUUAACCUAGCAUCCUAUUACUGGGUUUAUAUCCAAAGGAUAAUACAUUGUUCUAUCAAAAAGACACUUGAACUUGAAUGUUCAUUGCAGUAUUAUUCACAAUAGCAAAGACAUGUAAUUGACCCAGGUGCUGAUCAAUGGUGGACUAGAUAAAGAAAAUCUGGUACAUACACACCACGAAAUACUACACAACCAUAAAAAAGAAUGAAAUCAUGUCCUUUGCAGCAAUAUAGAUGCAGCUGGAAGCCAUUAUUCUAAGCAAAUUAAUGCAGAAACAGAAAAUCAAAUACCACAUGUUCUCACAAGUGGGAGCUAAACAUUGGGUACACAUGGACAUAAAGAUGGGAACACAGACAUUGGGGGUUACUAGAGGGUGAGGGUUGAAAAACUACAUAUUGGGUACUAUGCCCAGUACCUGGGUGACAGGAUCAUUUGUACCUCAAACCUCAGCACCAUGCAGUAUACCUGUGUAACAAACCUGCACAUGUAUCCCCUGAAAAGUUGAAAUUAUAAAAAAGUAGAAAAACUCCAUAAUUAAAAUUAAAACUCAAUUUAGGAGAUAGUGAUUGAGUAAAGUUAAGCAGCUCUUCCUAUUGCA